UUAGGCUGUAAAGCUUUGAUGAAAAUAGCUGUUUCAGGAAGUCUUUCCUGAUUUAAACAAAUGGUUAGUUUCAAAUGUAUGAGGAGUUUUAAGGAGUAGAGGCUACUUAUCUCUACGGAUGUAAAUACCGCAUUCCUACACUGCAAAGCCAUCUCUCUUCUAGAGAUACACCAGAUGUUUUCUUCAAAUUAUUCCUUAUUAUCUCUCAGCGGUGAAUAAUGUAAAUAAAGUUAUGACAUUUCUAAUUCCGGACUUUGCAGAAGCGUUCCACCGAGAGCUACACUGCAGUUGCGGGACGCCUUGCGACGGCACGCAGACAGUGGAUGAGAGAGCUGGAUCAUCAAGGAAGAGUUUUUGCUGCUGUGCCCGGCUGAUAUAAAGGAACGGCUGCUCGACCAAGAACCCAAGACAGCAUAGGAAGCCGGAGAGCUGGCGGACCAGAACAGAUGCUUUGCUAAGGGCGUAUCCUGUGCCAUCUUCUACGUCAGCUUCUACCUCGUGGGGGAAGGAGCUAGCGUCUCUUCCACGCGCCGGGAUAGCUGCGGCCAUUUCCUUUGUAAUUUGUAAGUUGGGCACCGUAGUACUACCUCCGCAGAAAACAGCAAGCACGCACUCUCAUCUGGAAGGGGUCGCUGACAUCUUCGGUGUUGUUUGUCUUCAGCACAGAGGACAGCCCCAAUCACAAUAUGCAAACUUUGGGAAAGCCACUUUGGGAAGCAAGGGAAAGCAAGUACGUCACCUUUAGGGACGCGAGAUAUAUUUACGUGACUCCGCUGGGUUCCUGCUUCGCCUGGAGGGAACAAGAGACGCUGCUCGUAUAGUUUAGCAGUCCCUGGAUUUUCGGCCAUCUUCAGUGUUUGUCUCCAGCACAGAGGACAGAGGGAGCAUGCAACCUGUGGGGAAACAAGGUAUCAUGCAUGGAGUCCCCGCCAUCUUCAUUCUCCCACUGAUGUUCCUGCAGGUGAGUGUACAGAUAAAUAAUGGGGCUUGAUUUAAGCACAGAGUACAGGUAGAUAGGGGGGCACUAGUUUCCCUUGCAGAAUACCAGACUCGGCACCUGAGGGUCCACAAAAAGUUUUAAGAGGUACCUUCAUUUCUGAACAGCAACAAUACUAAUAGCUCUGAUCGCCGUGGCUCUAUUUAAUGCGUAAAUUGUUGAAAAAUAAAGCACAUGAAGGAUAACCAUAAUUGUUAUCGUA
Spea bombifrons (plains spadefoot toad) is the source of this 1199-nucleotide long non-coding RNA. RefSeq lists it as uncharacterized. The record is from RefSeq and is a predicted model, not a curated record. The transcript is spliced from 4 exons. Lineage: Eukaryota; Metazoa; Chordata; Amphibia; Anura; Pelobatidae.